Molecule: small RNA, 344 nt
Filed under: Arabidopsis thaliana (thale cress)
Lineage: Eukaryota; Viridiplantae; Streptophyta; Magnoliopsida; Brassicales; Brassicaceae
Description: ATSL002180
Source: RNAcentral
UGGUCAAAUUCUCCUAAAUAAGUUUUGAUAUUUUGCCUUUUACGAAAAAAAAAAUCUAAACUAAGUAUGUGAUAUCCAAGCAGAAGUAGAGACGGGUCAAUUAUACGCGUGGUACACUUUUGGAAGUGAAUUACAUCCUCUAAUUUUGAUUUUGUUUGGUAAUCGGAUAAUAUACGUCUCUUCAAAAACGUAUAUUGUAUCUUUUAUCUCGUAAAAUUAGAAAAAUUAUGGUGAAAGUCCAAACUUUUUAGACGCGUCAGUAUGAACCAAAAAAACAAAAAUAUGAUUAAGGAUUUGUGAGAAAAUAAGAGGUUUAGCUUAAGAAUUCACAACAUGUAUAAUAA